GAUGAACGCUGGCGGCGUGCCUAAUACAUGCAAGUCGAGCGAACAGACGAGGAGCUUGCUCCUCUGACGUUAGCGGCGGACGGGUGAGUAACACGUGUAUAACCUACCUAUAAGACUGGGAUAACUUCGGGAAACCGGAGCUAAUACCGGAUAAUAUAUUGAACCGCAUGGUUCAAUAGUGAAAGACGGUUUUGCUGUCACUUCUAGAUGGAUCCGCGCCGCAUUAGCUAGUUGGUAAGGUAACGGCUUACCAAGGCAACGAUGCGUAGCCGACCUGAGAGGGUGAUCGGACACACUGGAACUGAGACACGGACCAGACUCCUACGGGAGGCAGCAGUAGGGAAUCUUCCGCAAUGGGCGAAAGCCUGACGGAGCAACGCCGCGUGAGUGAUGAAGGUCUUCGGAUCGUAAAACUCUGUUAUUAGGGAAGAACAAAUGUGUAAGUAACUAUGCACGUCUUGACGGUACCUAAUCAGAAAGCAACGGCUAACUACGUG
This 497-nucleotide ribosomal RNA is filed under the name uncultured bacterium. RNAcentral describes it as "partial 16S ribosomal RNA". It matches the Rfam family "Bacterial small subunit ribosomal RNA", at positions 28 to 507 of the family's 1533-position model. The record is from RNAcentral.